Molecule: ribosomal RNA, 611 nt
Filed under: Ochthebius gibbosus
Lineage: Eukaryota; Metazoa; Arthropoda; Insecta; Coleoptera; Hydraenidae
Description: partial 16S ribosomal RNA
Rfam family: Bacterial large subunit ribosomal RNA (bases 375-533)
Source: RNAcentral
GUCUUUUUGAGUAUAAUUUAAAGUCUAAUCUGCCCAAUGAAUUUUAAAUGGCUGCGGUAUUUUGACCGUACAAAGGUAGCAUAAUCAUUAGUUUUUUAAUUGAAAGCUAGAAUGAAUGAUUGAACGAAAAAAUUUCUGUCUCAAUUUAAUUUAUUUAGAAUUUUAUUUUUAAGUUAAAAAGCUUAAAUAUUUUUUAAAGACGAGAAGACCCUAUAGAGUUUUAUAAUUUUAAAAUUUUAAAUUUUAUUAAUUAAUUAGUUUUAAAAUUAUUUUAUUGGGGUGAUAAUUAAAUUUAAUAAACUUUAAUAUUUAAAAUCAUAAAUUUAUGAAUAAUUGAUCCAUUAAUAAUGAUUAAAAGAUUAAAUUACCUUAGGGAUAACAGCGUAAUUUUUUUUAAGAGUUCUUAUCGAAAAAAAAGAUUGCGACCUCGAUGUUGGAUUAAAAUUAAAUUUUGGUGUAGAAGCUAAAACUUUAAGUCUGUUCGACUUUUAAAAUUUUACAUGAUCUGAGUUUAAACCGGUGUGAGCCAGGUUGGUUUCUAUCUUAAAAUACUUUAAAUAUUUUAGUACGAAAGGACCAAAUAUUUAUAAUAAUUAUUUUUAUUUGAAUAA